Molecule: long non-coding RNA, 983 nt
Filed under: Coturnix japonica (Japanese quail)
Lineage: Eukaryota; Metazoa; Chordata; Aves; Galliformes; Phasianidae
Description: lncRNA (ENSCJPG00005017569.1)
Source: RNAcentral
GUUGUUUUUUUAUUUUUAUUUUUAUUUUUUUUUAUUUAAAUAUGGUAAAGAAAUACAGAAUCUGAAGGGAAAAUUACAUGCUAGGUUGAAGUAAACUAAAUUCAGCCAUGGAUGGCUAGAAACAAGUUUUCUAGAUGUUUUAAUAAUUGAAGGCUAAAUGUCCAUCCACAUUACUUUGACAUUUUCUAAAAUUUUUGAAGUGUUGCCUUGAAUGUCAUUUUUAAUACACAUUUUCCUUCAACAAAACACAGGUAGCUAGAAGAAGGGAAAAGGAAAAGAAAAAUAUCAGUUUUCAAGUCAAGUGUGCUUUAAGUUGAUGCAGAAUUUAUUGCUUUGUUGAACUUCUCAUAUUCUUAUCCCCAAAUUUCUCUUACUGUGAAAUUUCAAGAGAUUUUUUUUUUUUUUCCAGUUUUUGUUCCAGCUAGCAAUCUGAAGAUUCUGUUACUGCAAGGUCUCUGAAUAGCACCCAGAAGAUGGAAAGUAUCUGCUUUUGAGUUGAAACCGGUACAUUUUUGGAGAACAUACUGUAGUGCAGGAAGGUUGUGGAGUGCUGUUGCCUGUCUUUCUGCUGAGGAUCAGUGUAAGCUCUGGGCCCAGGAAAUAUUUUUUGAGUGAUCUCUGUGUAAGAGGGGAGGUGGAAGUUUUGGUCUGCAUCUGCAUCCUUCUGUGCUAGUUCCUGGCCAACUGCAAAGCCCUCAGCUGCUGCUGCCCUGUUUCCGCAUAUGGCACCUGUGACUGUGAGGCCAAACACCUAGGAUUUGUAAGAGGACAAGCAGAUGGAGUACUGUCCAGACUAGAGGAAGCUCUUUUGGAAGAUAGCACAGACAGACUCCUUAUUUCUGGGACUUUUAUUUACAUAUGUUUCAUAUACAUGUUUUCUAAUUACCUAGAGUCUGGGCUUACAUGUUAGAAAAGGCAUACUAUUAUGGAUAAGCUCUGCUUUGAACUUAAUAAAAAAGCUGUUAUAGUUUUAUUGAAAUACA